RNAcentral lists this long non-coding RNA (414 nucleotides) under Gossypium barbadense (sea-island cotton). RNAcentral's name for it is "long non-coding RNA (GBAR_LNC017290)". Lineage: Eukaryota; Viridiplantae; Streptophyta; Magnoliopsida; Malvales; Malvaceae. The record is from RNAcentral.
ACACCUCUUAAUUGGAUCCAUAUUUCAUGUUCAGUUUUGUGCACUCCAUCCCCUUCAAUACCCCACCCAACUGCAUGGAAUAAGGAUAAAUGUACAAAGUGGAGUGCUUUAUGACACACCUUUCUCUCUUUACACAACCGGGAUCCAUCCCUCUUUACAUUUUUCAUUGUCUUGGAAAGAUUAAGAGAUCCUGUAUUUUGUGUCAGCUAAUGGGUCCUUUAACACUGACAAAAUACCAAUACCAAAGGGUGGGGGCCAAUGUGUCAUUUUCAGUACUUGUAUGAUAUCAAAGGGUUGGCAAAUCAUGUGGGAUGGACUAGUAGGUUUGUCUUGAUAGCCUGUUAUGUUACUUUCUUCUUGAUAUGGCCAUGUUGUCUAAUGAAUGAGUCUUAUUCUCCUUUAUGACAAAGUUCC